Molecule: ribosomal RNA, 460 nt
Filed under: uncultured bacterium
Lineage: Bacteria
Description: partial 16S ribosomal RNA
Rfam family: Bacterial small subunit ribosomal RNA
Source: RNAcentral
CCUACGGGUGGCAGCAGUGAGGAAUAUUGGUCAAUGGACGAGAGUCUGAACCAGCCAAGUAGCGUGAAGGAUGACUGCCCUAUGGGUUGUAAACUUCUUUUAUAUGGGAAUAAAACGUUUCACGUGUGGGAUUUUGUAUGUACCAUAUGAAUAAGGAUCGGCUAACUCCGUGCCAGCAGCCGCGGUAAUACGGAGGAUCCGAGCGUUAUCCGGAUUUAUUGGGUUUAAAGGGAGCGUAGGUGGAUUGUUAAGUCAGUUGUGAAAGUUUGCGGCUCAACCGUAAAAUUGCAGUUGAAACUGGCAGUCUUGAGUACAGUAGAGGUGGGCGGAAUUCGUGGUGUAGCGGUGAAAUGCUUAGAUAUCACGAAGAACUCCGAUUGCGAAGGCAGUUCACUGGACUGCAACUGACACUGAGGCUCGAAAGUGUGGGUAUCAAACAGGAUUAGAUACCCCAGUAGUC